GGAAAGGCGCGCGAUACAGGGUGACAGCCCCGUACACAAAAAUGCACAUGCUGUGAGCUCGAUGAGUAGGGCGGGACACGUGGUAUCCUGUCUGAAUAUGGGGGGACCAUCCUCCAAGGCUAAAUACUCCUGACUGACCGAUAGUGAACCAGUACCGUGAGGGAAAGGCGAAAAGAACCCCGGCGAGGGGAGUGAAAAAGAACCUGAAACCGUGUACGUACAAGCAGUGGGAGCACGCUUAGGCGUGUGACUGCGUACCUUUUGUAUAAUGGGUCAGCGACUUAUAUUCUGUAGCAAGGUUAACCGAAUAGGGGAGCCGAAGGGAAACCGAGUCUUAACUGGGCGUUAAGUUGCAGGGUAUAGACCCGAAACCCGGUGAUCUAGCCAUGGGCAGGUUGAAGGUUGGGUAACACUAACUGGAGGACCGAACCGACUAAUGUUGAAAAAUUAGCGGAUGACUUGUGGCUGGGGGUGAAAGGCCAAUCAAACCGGGAGAUAGCUGGUUCUCCCCGAAAGCUAUUUAGGUAGCGCCUCGUGAAUUCAUCUCCGGGGGUAGAGCACUGUUUCGGCAAGGGGGUCAUCCCGACUUACCAACCCGAUGCAAACUGCGAAUACCGGAGAAUGUUAUCACGGGAGACACACGGCGGGUGCUAACGUCCGUCGUGAAGAGGGAAACAACCCAGACCGCCAGCUAAGGUCCCAAAGUCAUGGUUAAGUGGGAAACGAUGUGGGAAGGCCCAGACAGCCAGGAUGUUGGCUUAGAAGCAGCCAUCAUUUAAAGAAAGCGUAAUAGCUCACUGGUCGAGUCGGCCUGCGCGGAAGAUGUAACGGGGCUAAACCAUGCACCGAAGCUGCGGCAGCGACGCUGAUGCGUUGUUGGGUAGGGGAGCGUUCUGUAAGCCUGCGAAGGUGUGCUGUGAGGCAUGCUGGAGGUAUCAGAAGUGCGAAUGCUGACAUAAGUAACGAUAAAGCGGGUGAAAAGCCCGCUCGCCGGAAGACCAAGGGUUCCUGUCCAACGUUAAUCGGGGCAGGGUGAGUCGAC
Molecule: ribosomal RNA, 1042 nt
Filed under: Escherichia coli
Lineage: Bacteria; Pseudomonadati; Pseudomonadota; Gammaproteobacteria; Enterobacterales; Enterobacteriaceae
Description: bacterial LSU rRNA
Rfam family: Bacterial large subunit ribosomal RNA
Source: RNAcentral